UGUCUGGUGUGGUAGUAACAGUGUCCAGUGUCCCUUGGCAUAUGUAUGGACUGGGUCUGGGGUGUAUCAGACUGGGCUAGGCUCCAGAACCCACUGGUGUUC
Long non-coding RNA from Ochotona curzoniae (black-lipped pika), 102 nucleotides. RefSeq lists it as uncharacterized. Lineage: Eukaryota; Metazoa; Chordata; Mammalia; Lagomorpha; Ochotonidae. The record is from RefSeq and is a predicted model, not a curated record. The transcript has 3 exons.